UUUCCCAGAAUGAAUCAGUAGAAAAUGUUAAAGUUCCUGUUCGCAACUAUGAAAGAAUUGUGGGAAAACCUAAUUGAAAUAGAGAUUCUACAUUAACUGAACGUGAGAAGAUCCUGCUGAGUCAUUUGACUCAAACUAAAUUAAGCUUAAAGCGUUUGGCAGUCGAAAUGCGAACUGUGAGGAAGACACUUAUAAAUUGUUUGUAGCUUAUAACGAUAUUAGCGGGGUCCGCACUGACAUGCCUAAUAUAAAUAAUAAUGAUGACAUUCAAGUUGUUGAUGAGAUAGUUUAUCCUGUUUUGUCUUUGCCCAAUGAAAUAGAUUUCUUUUUAUAUGAAAAUGAUUUAUGUAACUUUUUGGAGCAGCCAGUAGUAUAU
RNAcentral lists this unclassified non-coding RNA (376 nucleotides) under Melitaea cinxia (Glanville fritillary). Its description in RNAcentral is "misc RNA ENSMCXG00005000054.1". Lineage: Eukaryota; Metazoa; Arthropoda; Insecta; Lepidoptera; Nymphalidae. The record is from RNAcentral.